Molecule: long non-coding RNA, 304 nt
Filed under: Mytilus galloprovincialis (Mediterranean mussel)
Lineage: Eukaryota; Metazoa; Mollusca; Bivalvia; Mytilida; Mytilidae
Source: RNAcentral
GUAAAUAAAGGCAACAGUAGUAUACCGCUGUUCAAAACUCAUAAAUCCAUGGACAAAAAACAAAAUCGGGGUAACAAACUAAAACCGAGGGAAACGCAUUAAAUAAAAGAGGAGAACGACGACAUAACACCGAAACGUAACACACACAGAAACGGACCAAGCAUCAGACAAAACACCACGAGAAUAACAAAUAUAACAUGAAAACCAAAUACAUGAAUUUGGGAUAGACAAAUACCGUGCCACGUCUUAUCUCAAUUUCUCAAAAAUAAGAGAAAACACAAACGACUCAACGUUAAAAUGCAAC